This is a non-coding RNA of Salmo salar (Atlantic salmon), 969 nucleotides long. NCBI's taxonomy places the organism in Eukaryota, Metazoa, Chordata, Actinopteri, Salmoniformes, Salmonidae. The record is from RefSeq and is a predicted model, not a curated record.
GAAGUUACAUGUCUACAAGAGUGCUUUCGAUAAAGCCUUACAAAGUGAGACAGGAAACCUGGACUUAUUCCUCCGCUUCCUUCUGGGCCUCUCACUGGAGUCCAAUCAGAAGCACUUACGAGGACUACUGACAAAGACAAGAAGCAGCUCACAGAGCCAUGAAGAUACAGUCAAGUACAUCAAGGAGAAGAUCAGGGAGAAUCCCUCUCCAGAGAGGUGCAUCAAUCUGUUCCACUGUCUGAAUGAACUGAAUGACCAUUCUCUAGUGGAGGAGAUCCAAAGCUACCUGAGAUCAGGAAGUCUUUCAGAAGACAACUUGUCACCUGCACAGUGGUCAGCUCUGGUCUUUGUGUUGCUGACUUCAGAAAAGGAACUGGAUGUGUUUGACCUGAAGAAAUACUCCAGAUAAGAGGAAGGUCUUCUGAGGCUGCUGCCAGUGGUCAAAGCCUCCAGAGCUGCUCUGCUGUCAGGCUGUGGAGUCACAGAGGAAGGCUGUGAUUCUCUGGUCUCAGCUCUGAGGUCAAACCUCUCACACCUAAGAGAGCUCGACCUGAGUAACAAUGACCUGAAGGAUUCAGGAGUGAAGCUGCUCUCUGCUGGACUGGAGAAUCCCCCACUGCUGGAGAAACUGGAGACUCUGAAGUCAGUAUUCCUGUAGUUGGUCAACAAGUGAUAACUGUUCACCAGAUCCACAUGUGUUUACCAGACACACAUAGUCCACACCAUAUGUGUUUGGACAGUGAAGCUUACAGUUUUUCAUUUGGUGCUAUGCUCCAGCAUUUUAGAUUUGAGAUAGAAUGUUUCACAUUAGGUGAAUAUACAGAAUGUCAUCUUUUAUUUGAGGUUAAUGGUGAGAGGUUAGCAUGUUUUGUUGUAUCCUCUGUUAUUGGUAAUGGUGAGAGGUUAGCAUGUUUUGUUGUAUCCUCUGUUAUUGGUAAUGGUGAGAGGUUAGCAUGUUUUGUUGUAUCC